Small nuclear RNA from Nomascus leucogenys (northern white-cheeked gibbon), 103 nucleotides. NCBI's taxonomy places the organism in Eukaryota, Metazoa, Chordata, Mammalia, Primates, Hylobatidae. The record is from Ensembl.
UUGCUUCAGCAGCACGUAUACUAAAAUUGGAAUGAUACAGAGAAAACUGGCAUGGCCCCUGUGCCAGGAUGACAUGCACAUUCGUGAAGCGUGCUACAUUUAA